This 7086-nucleotide long non-coding RNA is filed under the name Ananas comosus (pineapple). RNAcentral's name for it is "long non-coding RNA (ACOM_LNC017019)". Lineage: Eukaryota; Viridiplantae; Streptophyta; Magnoliopsida; Poales; Bromeliaceae. The record is from RNAcentral.
CCUACCCGACGAGUUGCUGAGAUAGAGGAUCCACCACUGCAGGUAGUUUCGGUUUAUUUUGUUGAGUUCAUGUACAUACAGUUGUUAUAACUCGCUGGAGGGAGUACCUUUGUAUAGCGUUUUGUUGUAUGUAUGUGAGACUUGUUUUAUCCUACCUGUUUGGUUUCUUUACAGCUCUAUACUACUACUUGUAGUAUUGUAUAUUUUCAGUUAUCAAUACGCUUCGUAUACAGGGAAAAUUCUUUGUAUACGACGGAUUUGUCGACGUGCCCGGGAAUUGUGUAAUCCGGGGCGUAACAGAUUAAAUUGGUAUCAGAGCUUAGUAUUAAGUCGUUGGGACCUAGAAAACCUAAGUUUGGCAAACCUUAGGAAGGCAAGACGCGAGAGGCGUAAUUUAUUACGAAAGUCAGUGAUUAAUUGUUCUAACUCCUCCUAGAGUGGGGUGAGUGAUUGAAGGAGUGCCUAUUUUGGCCUGAGAAAUUAUGUUCGCUGCAGACUACAUAAUUUUACGGAAAGAUAGGUGCCGCCUUCUGGACUUUCGUCGAUUGGGUCAAGAGUGCUUAUGUUUAUCUGACCCUGCUUUUCUUUUUGCAGCUAUGUAUCGUCGUCGAGGCCGACCGUCGACACGGGAUCGGGCACAGUUGGCACAGGAUCGUGUGGGACCUUCUGAGAUGCCUGAGCAGGCGGAGCCGAGUGCCCGGCAAGAGCAGGGUGUUCGACCGGAGGCGAGUGCAUCCUCGGGCUUGACUGCACAGUUGGCCGUCCUGACCGAGGUGACGAGGCGGCAGGGGGAGUUGUUGGAGAGGAUGUGUGAGAGGUUAGCUUCGCCCCAGAGUUCAGCACCGAGGGCACCAGAGUCGUCUGUUCCACCUCCGACUACUCCAGUGGCAGCACCAGUUGCAGCAGUACCUCCGCCAGCAGCCGUUCCAGUAGCACCAGUUGCGCCUGCUUGGGGGCCAAUACAGUUGACAGAGGCCGAGCAGGAGCGAUGGACGGAGAGGUUUGCUCGUUUUUGCCGUUUUGAUCCACCGAUUUUCGAUGGCAGUUGCACUGAGGCCUGGGUUGUUGAGGGAUGGGUCAGUGCGAUGGAGAAACUAUUUGAGGAUCUGUUCAUUCCUAAGGGGGAGCAGGUGUCUUUGGGAGUCCAUUGUUUGGCAGGUGAUGCCCACGCCUGGUGGAGGAGAGUGAGAAGAGAGCAGGGACUGGUAGCGUUGCAGUUGAGAUGAGAUGAGUUCUGUGGAAUGCUGUUUGGGAUGUUCUUUCCCAACAGUGUGAAACAGAAGCUCGAGGAGGAUUUGAAGAGGAUUCAGCAGGGGGAUCGUCCAGUGCAGGAGUACAUUCGAGAGUUUACUCGACUCCUGAACUGUGUGCCAUUUGUGGCCAGGGACGAGACACAUAGGGUCUAUCUGUUUGAGCAGGGGCUAAGACCUGACAUUUUCAGGUUAGCGCGGAUGCAGAGGUCGAGGACUCUGGAUGCGUCCAUAGAGCAGGCCUUGUGGGUGGAGAGAGGUGAGGUGUCAUUGCAGGAGAGGACUCAGGCCGUGGGGCAGAGUCAGGACAGGAAGCGCCCCUUUUCAGAUGAUGCUGGACAGUCGAGUAGCAGGCGUCCGCCGAGGCCUCCACGAUCACGCUCUCAGGGUCGUGGGUCUUCGGAACGUCAGCGUUCUAGGGGAUCCCAUCAGCAGGGGCAGACUCAGAGGACACCGCAGUGUGUGAUCUGCGAGGGGCCACACUGGCCCCGGCAGUGCGAGCAGAGAGAGGGCCGUUGCUACCCUUGCGGUCAGCCAGGACAUAUGAGGUCAGCUUGUCCCCGUGCAGCAUCACCAGCGCCAUCCACUGCAUCAGUGCAGCCGGCAUCUCAGCCGUCCUUUGGAGCAGCACCGAGUUUCCGCCAGGAGGAUAGAUCGUCUAUGCCGCGUCAGGACGAGUGGCGACAGCAGGCUCCGAGCAACAGGGUCUAUGCAGCCUAGGUGGAGGACUCUACAGUGGCCGACCGAGUGGUGGCAGGUAUCACUUUGAUUUCUGGCAUUAGAGUUCAUACUCUCUUUGAUACCGGUGCAUCUCAUUCGUUUGUUAGCCGAGCAUUUGCAUUGUUGCAUGGUCUAGAGUUAGGAGCCUUGUCUCAGGCACGAGAGGUGCAGAUCCCAGACCAUACUUUACAGGUUGCGGAGUGUUGUUGGUCGUGUCCCGUGCAGUUGGAUUUGUGGAUCAUGCCCGCAGACUUGUUGGUUUUAGGGCAGCUGCAGGACUUCGACGUUGUGCUCGAUAUGGAUUGGUUGGUCCGGUACUUUGCUACGAUUAAUUGUGGAGCGAGGACAGUGACGUUCCGUGAGCCAGGCCAGGAGGAAUUUACUUUUAGAGGCUGCAGGAGUACACUGUUUGCCACUUGGAUAUCUUCGGCGAGGACUCGACAGCUGAUGAGUAGAGGAUGUGUUGCCUUUCUGGCGACUGUUGUUGAGGUACCUACGGCGGCGCCGGGACUCGAGGAUAUUCCUGUAGUCCGCAAGUUUCCAGAUGUGUUUUCCCCUGAGUUGACGACGAUGCCGCCGGAGAGGGAGAUUGAGUUUGUGAUUGAUGUAGUUUUUGGAACUGCACCAAUCUCAAAGGUACCUUAUCGGAUGGCACCGGCAGAGCUGAGAGAGCUAAAGUCGCAGCUUCAGGAUCUAAUGGACAAGGGGUAUGUGAGACCCAGUGUGUCACUUUGGGGAGCGCCGGUGUUAUUUGUAAAGAAGAAGGAUGGUUCGCUCAGGUUAUGUGUGGAUUACCGGGAGCUAAAUAAAUUGACCAUCAAGAACAAAUAUCCACUGCCGCGCAUUGAUGAUUUGUUUGAUCAGUUGCAGGGAUCCUUCGUCUUCUCGAAGAUUGAUCUUCAGUCCGGUUACCACCAGCUGAGGGUGAGGGCCGAAGAUAUUUCCAAGACGGCUUUUCGGACUCGGUACAGGCAUUAUGAGUUUACGGUCAUGCCUUUUGGAUUGACGAAUGCCCCUGCCGCAUUCAUGGAUUUGAUGAACAGGGUGUUCAAGCCGUUCUUGGAUAGAUUUGUGGUAGUCUUCAUCGAUAAUCUUCAUCGAUAACAUUCUGAUUUACUCUCGUAGUGAUGCUGAGCAUGAGGAGCACUUGAGGAUUGUGCUACAGCUUCUGCGAGAGAAGAAGUUAUAUGCCAAGUUAAAGAAGUGUGAGUUUUGGUUGCGGAAAGUUGCUUUCUUGGGCCACGUGAUUUCUGCAGAGGGAGUGGCAGUAGACCCGAAGAAGAUUGAUGCUAUUCAGGGUUGGCCUAGACCGACGACGGUGACAGAGGUGAGGAGUUUCCUUGGGCUAGCAGAAUAUUAUCGUCGGUUUGUGGAAGGCUUUGCGAAGCUUUCCGCACCCCUUAUUAUUUUGACAUGGAAAGGGAUUCGGUUUGUUUGGAGUGAGGACUGCCAGAGGAGCUUCGACGAGUUUAGACAGAGAUUGAUGACAGCUCCUAUCCUUGCCCUUCCUGUGAUGGGGGAAGGAUUUGUGAUCUAUAGUGAUGCAUCGCACAACGAACUGGGUUGUGUGCUGAUGCAGUAUGGUAGGGUGAUUGCUUAUGCUUCACGGCAGUUAAAGGAUUAUAAGAAGAAUUACCCUACGCAUGAUUUGGAGCUUGCAGCGGUAGUCUUUGCUUUGAAGUUGUGGCGGCAUUAUUUGUAUGGCGAGCACUGCGAGGUUUUCACCGAUCAUAAAAGUCUCAAGUAUCUAUUCACUCAAAAGGAAUUGAAUCUGAGGCAGCGCCGGUGGCUAGAGCUACUGAAGGACUAUGACAUUAGUAUUCAGUAUCAUCCCGGCAGGGCGAAUGUAGUGGCAGAUGUGUUGAGCAGGAGGGCAGCGGAGAGCUUGAGCUUGUUGAUCACUCAGCAGAGACCGCUACUUAAGGAGCUACAGCGACUGAGGCUUGAGGUGGUGUCUCCUGGGUCUACUGCAAGACUGAUAACUCUCGUCUUGCAGCCCACUCUAUUGGAUAGGAUCCGAGAAAAACAGAAUGGAGAUCUGCAUUUGUUGAGGAUUCGAGAGCAGUUAAUUAGGGGACAGGCCGAGGGUUUUGGUUUGGACAGCUCGGGAGUACUGCGGUACAGGGAGCGACUGUGUGUGCCUGUGGAUUCAGAGAUCCGAGAGGACAUCUUGAGGGAGGCUCAUUGUACACCUUAUACGGUUCACCCUGGGGGAACCAAGAUGUAUAAGGACUUGAAGAUCCAGUUUUGGUGGAAUGGAACGAAGAGGGACAUUGGCAGGUUUGUGGCUCAGUGUCUGACUUGUCAACAGGUAAAGGCCGAGCAUCAGGUACUUGCUGGCAAGUUUCAGAGUUUGUCAGUGCCCGAGUGGAAAUGGGAACAGAUGGCGAUGGAUUUCGUUGUGGGGUUGCCUAGAGCACAGGGUGGCUUCGAUGCGAUUUGGGUGAUAGUGGACAGACUGACCAAGUCUGCUCACUUCCUACCAGUUCAGACCACCUGGUCCAGAGAGAGACUCGCGCAGCUUUACUUGGAUGAGAUCGUCAGGCUACAUGGUGUGCCAGUAUCGAUUGUAUCAGACCGAGACCCGAGAUUUGUGUCGCAUUUCUGGAGGAGUUUACAGACAGCUUUGGGGACUCAGUUACAUUUCAGCACAGCAUUUCACCCACAGACGGAUGGUCAGUCGGAGUGGACCAUUCAGACUCUAGAGAACAUGCUGAGGGCGUGUGUCCUGGACUUCGGAGGAGGGUGAUAUCGACACUUGAGACUAGCAGAUUUUGCGUAUAACAACAGCUAUCAAACGAGCAUUCAGAUGGCUCCGUUUGAGGCGUUGUAUGGACGCAGAUGUCGAUCCCCGUUGUUUUGGAGUGACGUGGGUGAGAGGAGGACACUUGUGCCUGAGAUUUUGCUAGAGGCUGAGAAAAAGGUGAGAGUUGUUCGACGACACCUUUUGACAGCUCAGAGCCGCCAGAGGAGCUACGCCGAUACCAGGAGACGAGACUUGCAGUUUCAGGUUCGAGAUCAUGUUUUUCUUAAAGUCUCGCCGUCGAGAGGGAUUCGCCGAUUUGGAGUGCGUGGAAAGCUCAGUCCACGUUUCGUUGGCCCUUUUGAGAUAUUGGAGCGAGUUGGACCAAUUGCUUACCGGAUUGCUCUACCACCCCGACUAGCUGGGAUUCAUGAUGUGUUCCACGUCUCGGCACUGAGGAGAUAUGUUUUCGAUCCUUCUCACGUGAUUGACUUCACUCCACUAGAGAUUGGCGAGGACCUGAGAUACAAGGAGCGACCGGUGCGGAUUCUUGCUCGCGAGACGAAAGAAUUGUGCAACCGGGUCAUCCCGUAUGUAAAAGUGCAGUGGAGCAAUCACGAGGAGCAGGAGGCGACUUCGGAGCAAGAAACAGUGAUGAGGGAGUCCUACCCCGACCUGUUCGUUGCCCCGUCUUGAGGUAUGUUUUAAGUUUCGAGGACAAAACUUUUUGUAGUAGGGGAGGAUAUAGUAUCCUUGUUUGUUAUUGUGAGUUGGUAAAGGGCAUACUGGUCUUUGCCAAUCCUUAUCACCUCCACCGCCUUAAUUAAGGCGGCAAGUUGUGAGUUGGAGGAUUGCUAAUUAAUGUUGACUUCGUUUCUCUCUCUAGAAUUGGAACGUGAGUUGGAGGAAGAGCUCGGUGGAGUGCCGUUGGAGCUCGGAUUCGACGCCGACAUCGCGCCGCGAAGCCGUUCGAGGGUACGAUCGCCGCCGUAGCAUCGCCAGGAGGCCGGGCGAGGGUGUUUUUCCGCCGUUCUUGACGUCGCGCCAGAUUGGAUUUAGCGAUCGAGGUGGGUUUAUCAUCGGAUUCUUACUUCUAGAGGCCCGUUGGUCGACAUGUAUAUUUCGGGUUUUCACGUACUUGUAUUAUAGCUCUAAUUCAUGACCGUUUCAUGUUUUGUUGAUUAGAAUGAGUUUAGAGCAUGAUUCUAAUUAUGGAUAAACUAUGAAUGAGUUUAGAGCAUGAUUUUGAUUAUGGAUAAAUUAUACAUAUUGGACUCAGAUUUGACUUAGGAGAAAAUCCGCGAAUAACCUGUCGUUAUGCUUACACUACCAGAUUUAGCUCUAGGAGCCGUUAUAUUUUUAUUUCGCCACAGUAUCAGUGUGGUGGAUACCCCAGAUAGUGUAGUCAGCUGUUAAGCUCGUGCUGGGAUGCCGAGCCUAUUUUUUUUUCAGUAGCUUCAGAUUGUUCCGGAUUGUUGGGUGCCGUUGGGACUGACGGUGGACCCGGUUUGCCGUUUUGGCAUCAGAUUGCGCUGAGGGCACGUGACUUUUGGUUGGUAGACCAGUUGAACCCAGUGUACUUGACUAUAGCCUGCGAGAGCCUGAUUGAGCUCGACAGAGAUACGCUUGCAUACUCGGUUCAGUAGCGCCCACGAGUGCUAUUCCGGAGUCGGGCCUAGUGCUGUUGCGUUGGUGUCGCUGUGUCCUGGUUGGACUUGCUCUCCACUAACUACCCAGCGGGGGUGGUUGUAGUGUUGCUUCGGCAGGCGGGAUGGGUGUAUCACAGUCCCUAAAUAGAUUGGGUCAGCAUUAAUAUUUUUACUACGGAUAAUUAGAGUAGAGCAUGAUAGUGUAGUGAUAUCUAGCUGUAGACGUUUCCAGCUUUCCUACUAUCCCAGCUCCUUUCUGUAGACUUAGUGGGUGGACCGAUGAUUGUUGAGGGCGGCACCCACUGAGGACUACUUGUUUUUACAGUAGUUCUCACGCCCAGUUGUUACCCUGUGUUUUGCAAAGCCUGCUGUUCCGGUUGCUGCGCCUUCCGAGGCUGAUCGAGGCAAGGGCGCCGCGAGUUAGAGCCCUACCCGACGAGUUGCUGAGAUAGAGGAUCCACCACUGCAGGUAGUUCCGGUUUAUUUUGUUGAGUUCAUGUACAUACAUUUGUUAUAACUCGCUGGAGCGAGUACCUUUGUAUAGCGUUUUGUUGUAUGUAUGUGAGACUUGUUUUAUCCUACCUGUUUGGUUUCUUUACAGCUCUAUACUACUGGUUGUAGUAUUGUAUAUUUUCAGUUAUCGAUACGCUUCGUAUACAGAAAAAAUUCUUUGUAUACGGCGGAUUUGUCGACGUGCCGUGGAAUUGUGUAAUCCGGGGCGUAA